Molecule: long non-coding RNA, 462 nt
Organism: Bactrocera neohumeralis
Lineage: Eukaryota; Metazoa; Arthropoda; Insecta; Diptera; Tephritidae
Exons: 2
Source: RefSeq, a predicted model, not a curated record
AUGGCUGCAGAUUAAACCGUUAAGAUUUUAUAACAAAAACAAUUUUAAUGUAAAUGCAUAUGGUGACUUGUUUACAUUUUCUUUGAACGCUUGUGUGGGAUACAAUUAAAUUCUCUUUUAACAUAAAUGAAACACAAGGGGAAAAAACACAAUUUUUUGAGACUUUAAUUAAAGAUAAAGCUUUAGAACAAUAUGUCGAAACUCUCCCUGGUGCCGUAUAGCGAUUCAGAUGAAUCUUUCGUUGAUUUAAAUGGUUUGGAAAGUUUAAAAGAAGUCGAGGAGGAAACGAGUGUUGGGAAAAGGGGCUACAGAAAGCAAAAGAGAAUACCUAAAAGGCUGCAAAAAGUUAAGAAAAAAAUACGAGUGUUUUGCCCAACCCGUGCUUAAAGAAAAAAUGUCCAAACUGUAUAUCAGCAUUAUGUAGAACAUUUGAAAACUAUUAAUAAAGUAAAUAGUCAGUUA